AGGACGAACGCCGGCGGCGUGCUUAACACAUGCAAGUCGAACGGUGAACCACUUCGGUGGGGAUCAGUGGCGAACGGGUGAGUAACACGUGAGCAACCUGCCCCUGGCUCUGGGAUAACUCCGGGAAACCGGGGCUAAUCCGGAUAUGACACCCUUCUGCAUGGUGGGGUGUGGAAAGAUUCAUCGGCUGGGGAUGGGCUCGCGGCCUAUCAGCUUGUUGGUGGGGUAAUGGCCUACCAAGGCGACGACGGGUAGCCGGCCUGAGAGGGCGACCGGCCACACUGGGACUGAGACACGGCCCAGACUCCUACGGGAGGCAGCAGUGGGGAAUAUUGCGCAAUGGGCGAAAGCCUGACGCAGCGACGCCGCGUGAGGGAUGACGGCCUUCGGGUUGUAAACCUCUUUCAGUAGGGACGAAGCGCAAGUGACGGUACCUACAGAAGAAGCACCGGCCAACUACGUGCCAGCAGCCGCGGUAAUACGUGGGGUGCAAGCGUUGUUCGGAAUUAUUGGGCGUAAAGAGCGUGUAGGCGGUUUGUUAAGUCUGAUGUGAAAGCCCUGGGCUCAACCCAGGAAGUGCAUUGGAAACUGGCAGACUUGAAUACGGGAGAGGGCAGUGGAAUUCCUAGUGUAGGAGUGAAAUCCGUAGAUAUCAGGAGGAACACCGGUGGCGAAGGCGGGUCUCUGGGCCGUAACUGACGCUGAGGAGCGAAAGCGUGGGGAGCGAACAGGAUUAGAUACCCUGGUAGUCCACGCUGUAAACGUUGGGCGCUAGGU
This 777-nucleotide ribosomal RNA is filed under the name uncultured bacterium. Its description in RNAcentral is "bacterial SSU rRNA". It matches the Rfam family "Bacterial small subunit ribosomal RNA", at positions 26 to 821 of the family's 1533-position model. The record is from RNAcentral.